Molecule: RNA transcript, 3242 nt
Organism: Balaenoptera ricei (Rice's whale)
Lineage: Eukaryota; Metazoa; Chordata; Mammalia; Artiodactyla; Balaenopteridae
Gene: DNAJB13
Gene name: DnaJ heat shock protein family (Hsp40) member B13
Exons: 13
Source: RefSeq, a predicted model, not a curated record
GACAACCAGCCAGCCAUGGGCCAGGAUUAUUACUCUGUGCUCCAGAUCACUCGCAAUUCAGAAGAUACCCAGAUCAAGAAUGCGUACCGGAAACUUGCCCUUAAGAACCACCCGUUGAGGUCCACUGAGACAUCCGCAGCGGAGGCAUUCAGGCAAAUAGCGGAGGCCUACGAUGUGCUGAGCGACCCUGUGAAAAGAGGCAUCUAUGACAAGUUCGGAGAGGAAGGCCUGAAGGGUGGAAUUCCUCUGGAGUUUGGAUCGCAGACCCCGUGGACAACUGGUUAUGUCUUCCACGGCAACCCGGAAAAGGUUUUCCAUGAGUUCUUCGGGGGAGAUAACCCCUUUAAUGAGUUUUUUGAUGCAGAAGGAAAUGAGGUGGACUUGAACUUUGGGGGACUCCGGGGCCGAGGGGUCAAGAAACAGGACCCCCCAAUCGAACGAGACCUCUACCUGUCCCUGGAGGACUUAUUCUUUGGCUGCACCAAGAAAAUUAAGAUCUCCCGAAGGGUGCUGAACGAGGAUGGGUACUCCUCUACCAUCAAGGACAAGAUCCUCACGAUUGACGUGAAGCCUGGUUGGAGGCAGGGCACACGUAUCACCUUCGAGAAGGAAGGGGACCAGGGUCCCAACAUCAUCCCAGCCGACGUCAUCUUCAUCGUAAAGGAGAAGCUACACCCUCGUUUCCGCAGGGAGAACGACAACCUCUUUUUUGUGAACUCCAUCCCCUUGGGCAAGGCUCUGACCUGCUGCACCGUGGAGGUGAAGACCCUAGAUGACCGUCUGCUCAACAUCCCCAUCAAUGACAUCGUCCACCCCAAGUACUUCAAGAAGGUGCCAGGUGAGGGGAUGCCGUUGCCAGAGGACCCCACCAAGAAGGGGGACCUCUUCAUUUUCUUUGACAUCCAGUUCCCCACCCGCCUCACACCCCAGAAGAAGCAGAUGCUGCGCCAGGCGUUGCUGACGUAACUCUGGCGGGCUGGAGACUGGCGCAGGGGUAAGAGAAGAUUUCUCCUUUAGUGGAACUCAGUAUUCUGGAGAAGCGUCCCGCAACACAGCAGACUCUGGUCCCCCACCCCGGCCGAGGAGAGGAAGUGGAAGGGUAAAGGCUUCUAUUACAGCCAUUUGAACGCGAGAAGUAAAGAACAAAAGCAAGACACGAAAAGAGUGAAAGAAGAGAGAUAAAGAAAAACAACAAAAGGGUGCACCAUUGGGGGUGGCUGCAGUGGCUGAUGGCUUGAUGGUCUCAACAUCCUUUGUUUACUGACACGGCAGGCAGACAUUCUUUGUCCACAAUGGGUACAGUGCAAAACAAAGGUAUUCUUAAGACAAAGCACGGAAGACCACAGUCCUUCCUCCUCUUCUAUUUCUUGAGUCAGCAGCAAGUAAACAGUUUUGUAAACAUGUGUGGGUCUACGUCCUUGUGUGUGUGGACCUGCUGCUUUAUUCCAUCCUUAACUGGUUUUGUCCUAGUUAAGUACCAAGUGGCCUUGUCUUAGUCAAAACGGAGAUUCCCGUAGCAUCUGGACUUUCAUCAAGGCCCGUUUCAGUUGCUCGUAGGUGACGAACAUCACCACAUUCCAGGCUCCCAGACGCAAAAAGGAGGGUGUAAAUCUGAUGAGAGAAACAACCACAUGGUCAGGUGGGUGGACUUGAGUCCCGCAUGGAUCUAUGUGCUCCCCCCUCGGCGCUGGUGCCACAGGACCAGCCUUCUGUUCGUCACGAGCAUUUUCUGAGAUUGUUCAGUCAUUUUCUUCUCUGCUGAAGGAAUUUAGGCAGAAGCUGGAGUUGGGAAAGGAAAGAAGACUAACAUUUUGAGCCGUGUUACUGUGUCAGGCAGUUAAUUAUCACAGUUCUAUCAGGUAGCUAUGAUUGUUGCCAGGUUUUUCUCUUCAGAAACCGAGGUUAAGUAGCUCAGUUAAAACCACCUGACUCCACUCUGCUGCUGGGUGUUUCUGGGCUCAUUUACAAGCUGAGUGGCCACCCCUGCAGAGACCCCGGACUCCAGCUGGAGGCCCCCCAGGGCGAAAACAACGUGACACCAAAUUUAGCUACUCUGCGGAGAGCCUGCCAGUGCUGCGGCAGGUAGCACGGCCUGGCGAGAGCCUCCCCUCGGCUGUGCUUCGCAGACUCGGGGAGCGGCCCGGCCCCCGCUCUUCUUCAGCCUCUCUCUCUGCUAAUCCCCUCCUGGUCCUCAGCUCCUGCCAGACGCUUCCUCCCACAGCUUUGCCCAUGUUGCUCCUUCUGCUUGGAAUAUCUCCUUCUCUCCUUGCCGGGCUGUUUGCUCUUGGCUCCGUGGGACUCAGCUUGGGCACCAGAACCUCCCACCAAGGCCUCUCCUGAACCCUCAGCCUGGGCCCCUCACAGGGCGUGUAGCACGGGGACAACGAAUGUGCACUCUGGCGUUAGACCUGGAUUCACAUCCUAGCUGGACCAGCUUCUUGAACUUAAUCUUUCUCAGCCUCGGCUUACUUACUUGUAACAUGAGGACAACACCACCUACCGCAAAGAGUUGUCGAGAGGAUUAAAUGAGUUAAGGUACAGCACAUAGCACCAGGCUCGGUAUUAGUAAAUCCUCAAUAAAUGUCCCUUACUGGUUGGCUGCUCUUCAAAGGAAGCACAGCACAGGGCCCAGCACCCGCAAGAUGCUCAGUGAAUGUUUGCCAAGUGAAAGUACAAACCGAGACAAGUGGCCACAGCUGAAGAGUGAAAUGAUGGAGGCACUUACAGGCAAAGAACUGUCAGCUGGAACUCAGUUUUGUGACGUCAUCCCAGGGUCGAGAACAUGGUUGCUUGUUGGGCCCAAUCUAACGCUGGGCGCCAGAAGACUAUCUUCAGUGGUGGAGAUGAGGCAACAGAGGCUCAGAUAGAGGCGCGCGCAGUCAAGCCGGACGGGACCUAUCAGGAAGUGGCAGAGCUGGACCCGUCUCUGCUCUCUCCCCAGCUGGACCGUGGCCCUGCUGGUUCCUCCCUGGUCUCACCCCCAGACUUAGCUCUUCAAGGAAGCCUUCUCUGACUGCUCCAGCCCACAUGGUUUCCUCCAUGAACUCCCCGAAUUCAAAGCACCUGACUGUAUCCUGGGCACAGAUGCCUUGUGACGCGUCUGGAGGUGUCUUGUGUGAUCUGCUUCCUAAGUACAUGAACAGAGGCAAGUCACUUAACUUCGUUGAGCUUCAGUUUAACUAUAAGACGGGAAUCAUAAGAUGUGGGUUAUAGAGUUGUUCUGAGGACUGAUAUGACCUAUG